GCACUGCUGAGGAGUCCUAUGAUAGGAUGAAACAGCCGUCCAGUGC
Molecule: non-coding RNA, 46 nt
Organism: Schistosoma mansoni
Lineage: Eukaryota; Metazoa; Platyhelminthes; Trematoda; Strigeidida; Schistosomatidae
Source: Rfam